GGGUGACUAAUGCUUGGGAACAUGCCUUGAGGUGGGGGACAACCAUUGGAAACGAUGGCUAAUACCGCAUAAUGUCUACGGACCAAAGGGGGCUUCGGCUCUCGCCUUUAGAUUGGCCCAAGUGGGAUUAGCUAGUUGGUAAGGUAACGGCUUACCAAGGCGACGAUCCCUAGCUGGUUUGAGAGGAUGAUCAGCCACACUGGAACUGAGACACGGUCCAGACUCCUACGGGAGGCAGCAGUGGGGAAUAUUGCACAAUGGGCGCA
RNAcentral lists this ribosomal RNA (266 nucleotides) under Pseudoalteromonas rubra. RNAcentral's name for it is "partial 16S ribosomal RNA". It matches the Rfam family "Bacterial small subunit ribosomal RNA", at positions 104 to 379 of the family's 1533-position model. The record is from RNAcentral. Lineage: Bacteria; Pseudomonadati; Pseudomonadota; Gammaproteobacteria; Alteromonadales; Pseudoalteromonadaceae.